RNAcentral lists this unclassified non-coding RNA (245 nucleotides) under Hevea brasiliensis (rubber tree). Lineage: Eukaryota; Viridiplantae; Streptophyta; Magnoliopsida; Malpighiales; Euphorbiaceae. The record is from RNAcentral.
AAUCCUUUUCUGGUGGAGUUUGUAGGAAGUUAUGAUAAUAGUAAUAGCUUAGGGGAGGAUGGGAUACUGACUGUCUAGACAAUGAGAAAAACUUGGACAAGCAGUAGAAUAUAGGAGAAAGAAAGAAAGAAACAACCAAAUUAUUUCGUGUAAAAUUUUCUAACCUACCAGUGAUGCUUUGGCUUUAGCUUAUGCAUUGCAUUGUUUUGGACUUUCAAACAGCCAAGUGGAAUUUUGCUCUGAAA